This 468-nucleotide ribosomal RNA is filed under the name uncultured bacterium. Its description in RNAcentral is "partial 16S ribosomal RNA". It matches the Rfam family "Bacterial small subunit ribosomal RNA", at positions 28 to 507 of the family's 1533-position model. The record is from RNAcentral.
GACGAACGCUGGCGGCGUGCUUAACACAUGCAAGUCGAACGGAAAGGCCCUGGUUUGGUUGGGUGCUCGAGUUGCGAACGGGUGAGUAACACGUGAGUAACCUGCCCUUUACCUGGGGAUAACUUCUGGAAACUGGAGCUAAUACCGGAUAGUAGCUCCUGUUGCAUGAUGGUGGUUUGAAAGUUUCGGCGGUUGAGGUUGUACUCGCGGCUUAGCAGCUUGAUGGUGGGGUAGUGGUUUAGCAAGGCUUUGGCGGGUAUCCGGCCUGGGAGGGUGACAGGCCACAGAGGGAUUGAGAUAGCGGCAGGACUGAAACGGGAGGCAGCAGUGGAAAAUAUUGCAAAAUAGGCCGAAGCCGUAUGGAGGAACGUCGCGUGCGAGAGGACGGCCGUCGGGUUGUAACCAGCGUGCGCCUGUAACGAAGCGAGAGUGACGGUAAUGGAUAAGGAAGCACCGGCUAACUACGUG